GCUCGUAUGGCGCAGUGGUAGCGCASAGAUUGCHAAUCUGUUGGUCCUUAUGUUCGAACCUGAGUGCGAGCU
RNAcentral lists this transfer RNA (72 nucleotides) under Lachancea thermotolerans. Its description in RNAcentral is "partial transfer RNA". It matches the Rfam family "tRNA". From Rfam's summary of the family: Transfer RNA (tRNA) molecules are approximately 80 nucleotides in length. Their secondary structure includes four short double-helical elements and three loops (D, anti-codon, and T loops). Lineage: Eukaryota; Fungi; Ascomycota; Saccharomycetes; Saccharomycetales; Saccharomycetaceae. The record is from RNAcentral.